This is a non-coding RNA of Paramuricea clavata, 1039 nucleotides long. The record is from the annotation of a GenBank genome assembly. NCBI's taxonomy places the organism in Eukaryota, Metazoa, Cnidaria, Anthozoa, Malacalcyonacea, Plexauridae.
AGCGCUGAACAAAAAUCUGCAGAAAAGGCUCAGAAUUAUCCAAAAGAGGACUUGUGCAAACAAACAAUAAUCGGCGAACAACUACAUGUUUUUUGUAAACAGAGGAGCAGAUCAAUGUCGCGACUAUAGUCUCCUCUGCAGGCAACUCGAUUGGCAUAAAUAGCAGGAUUGCACAAUACUUUAUAGAGAAAUGAUGUGGGUAACAGGGUAUCAAGAGGGAUAAUUGUGCAGUGAGGAACCCCUCACUACCCCUCAAUAUGCUAAAUAUACUGUGUAAACUUCACCGUUGUUUUCCACCGAGUUCCCUGGGGAGGACACUAUAUAGGUCGCGAUUAGCAGUAUCAGUAAUUUAUAUGACGUAUUAUAAGAAUACGCCAUCACACAUAUAUGUACAGCUGUUUCAAAAAAGGUUGUCCUUCAAAAAUCUCAAACCUAAAACUCUAAGCGCGCAAGGUAUGAUGGGUAACUUCUUACUCAAGGCCUGAAACGUGCGAAUUGAGCAUUGUAACUAUGGCAAGAGAAAUAAUAAACACUUUUAAGAUGUACAACUAACAGUGUACUAGGAUCAAUACAUUUGCCCAAUCAAAAGCCCUAAAAAGAAGUUACCCAUCACUCUUUGCGCGCUUAGAGUUUAAGGUUUGAGAUUUUCGAAGAACAACCUUUUUGGCGUCUACUGGAACAGUAGUCGCCAUAUGCUGUCGACAAGAGGUUGAGAUAGAGUGGACGGUCCACUUCUCCUGCCGACAGGCUCUUUUGUUAGGCUAAAGCCCGCGCAUCUGCGAGAUUUCCGACGUUAUUAUAACGAUCUCCGCGAGUAUUUGCAGUGGAAAUACGAAAAUAUCACCAAAAAAUUCCACUUGAAAGAUACUCUAUACUAGAACAAUGUAAAAUAGCCAUGAAAUAUAAACUAGCCAUACUCGAACACUGUAAACUAGCCGCACCAUUCCUAUAUACAAUGCACUCGAACAAUGUAAACAAAUAAAACAAUGUACGACAAUGUAUCACUAAGCCAUACCUUUCGCCGAAUAUAACUUUAGUC